RNAcentral lists this ribosomal RNA (280 nucleotides) under uncultured bacterium. RNAcentral's name for it is "partial 16S ribosomal RNA". It matches the Rfam family "Bacterial small subunit ribosomal RNA", at positions 32 to 292 of the family's 1533-position model. The record is from RNAcentral.
AAUCAACGCUGGCGGCGUGCCUAACACAUGCAAGUCGAACGCGAAAGCCCCGCAAGGGCGAAGUAGAGUGGCAAACGGGUGAGUAACGCGUGGGCGACCUACCUUCGAGUGGGGAGUAACCUUCCGAAGGAGGGCGUAAUACCGCAUGACAUCCCGUCGUUUGGAUACACGGAGUAUCAAAGCCGGGGAGUCGCAAGACCUGGCGCUUGGAGAGGGGCCCGCGUCCGAUUAGCUAGUUGGUGGGGUAACGGCUCACCAAGGCUCCGAUCGGUAUCCGGCC